This 590-nucleotide long non-coding RNA is filed under the name Malus domestica (apple). Its description in RNAcentral is "long non-coding RNA (MDOM_LNC009501)". Lineage: Eukaryota; Viridiplantae; Streptophyta; Magnoliopsida; Rosales; Rosaceae. The record is from RNAcentral.
ACGUGGCUCACAAAGCAAAGCUAAAAAAUCCUCCUAAUACAAAAUUACCAAUUUACCCUCGGUAUUCGGUGAUUCGUAAAAUCUUCGUUAUAACUCCAAAUUCAAUUCUGUUUGUCGUAUCAUCGAGUACUUUGAGAAUAUAUUAUAAUAAUAGCUUAUACGUGCCACAAGAUGACUGUUAACUAAAGUCAAUGAUCUCGCCUUAAGGGGCAUUUUCGUUGAUUCACUCAUUUAAAAUUAAUAAAAUCGUAAAAUCAGAGACUGGUUGUUACACAUAUAGCCAUGAUAAAUUAAUACUCUUUUUCAUUAUCUCCCAUAUCACCCUACAAAUGGACUCCUACACAACAAAAUUGUCACAACCCGUCCCGAGGAUUAAUUAUCGUGAUUGUGAAAGGACGGAUUUACCCUUGGGCAUUAGAGGUGUGUUGGCGUUUUGGAUUAAGAAAUUGGGUCAAUUGGUUCUAUUCCUAACUAAUUGGAUCCAAUUAGAAUUAAAAGAUUAGAGAAUUGUGAUUGGUGUGCAUGUUUGGACCACACACAUCCAUACCUUUUUCUCUUUCACUCCCCCGUGCUCUAUCUCUUCUCUUUCU